UUCGCGGGGGUAGUGGGACCGCGACGGUGGCCGACCGGCCGUCGGACGGUAGUUCUGACGAAUCGCGCACGCGUUCUACACGCGUCCGGCCCGACGCAAGUCAACGUCGUAUCAUACGUCUACGCCAUAGUGCGGACGUGUGUGCGGCGCGUCUGGUGUCGCAGCCGUGCUGUCUCGGACUGUGCGCGUCUCUGUCUGCGAUGAUUCAGUUUCGGGCACUCGCAGGACCCGUCUUGAAACACGGACCAAGGAGUCUAGCAUGUAUGCGAGUCAUUGAGACAAUAAAACUGAAAGGCGCAACGAAAGUGAAGGCGCGCGCUCGCCGCGCGCUCAGGGAGGAUGGAGCUUCGAUCUAGGUCGUACUCUCGCACUCCCGAGGCGUCUCGUUUCCAAUCCGUGAAUGCAGGCGCGCUCUGAGCAUAAAUGCUGGGACCCGAAAGAUGGUGAACUAUGCCUGGUCAGGUCGAAGUCA
This 472-nucleotide ribosomal RNA is filed under the name Endopterygota sp. NZAC 03014141. RNAcentral's name for it is "eukaryotic LSU rRNA". It matches the Rfam family "Eukaryotic large subunit ribosomal RNA", at positions 601 to 854 of the family's 3401-position model. Lineage: Eukaryota; Metazoa; Arthropoda; Insecta. The record is from RNAcentral.